CUACGGGUUGCUGCAGUCAAGAAUAUUCCACAAUGGACGAAAGUCUGAUGGAGCGACGCCGCGUGCAGGAAGACGCCCUUCGGGGUGUAAACUGCUUUUAUAAGGGAAGAAUUUGUGACGGUACCUUAUGAAUAAGAGGUUGCUAACUCUGUGCCAGCAGCAGCGGUAAUACAGAGACCUCAAACGUUAUCCGGAUUCAUUGGGCGUAAAGCGUCCGCAGGUGGUUUGGGAAGUCAAUGGUCAAAUCUUCGGGCUUAACUCGAAGACUGCCACCGAUACUCCCAGACUAGAGGCUGGAAGAGGCAAGCGGAAUUCUCGGUGUAGUCGUAAUAAGCGCUGAUAUCGAGAAGAACUCCAAAGGCGAAGGCAGCUUGCUGGUACAUGCCUGACACUCAUGGACGAAAGCGUGGGGAGCGAAGGGGAUUAGAUACCCUCGUAGUC
Molecule: ribosomal RNA, 441 nt
Filed under: uncultured bacterium
Lineage: Bacteria
Description: partial 16S ribosomal RNA
Rfam family: Bacterial small subunit ribosomal RNA
Source: RNAcentral